UUGUCAAGACAAUCGCGGCUGGCCUAGCGCCAGAUGAGGAAAGUCCGGGCUCCAUAGGGCAGUGUGCUGGAUAACGUCCAGCGAGGGUGACCUUAGGGAUAGUGCCAUAGAGAUUUAGACCGCCAGUUUCGGCUGGUAAGGGUGGAAAGGUGCGGUAAGAGCGCACCAGCAGCAAGACCAAAUAGGGAAGGGAUGAUGCGGCCCGCGGAACCUUCCGGGUUGAGUCGCUUGAGCCGGCAGGCAACUGCCGUGCCUAGAUAAAUGAUUGUCGCCUCCGCUUGCGGAUGGAACAAAACUCGGCUUACUGAUUGCU
This 313-nucleotide RNase P RNA is filed under the name uncultured Selenomonas sp. RNAcentral describes it as "Bacterial RNase P class A". It matches the Rfam family "Bacterial RNase P class A". From Rfam's summary of the family: Ribonuclease P (RNase P) is a ubiquitous endoribonuclease, found in archaea, bacteria and eukarya as well as chloroplasts and mitochondria. Lineage: Bacteria; Bacillati; Bacillota; Negativicutes; Selenomonadales; Selenomonadaceae. The record is from RNAcentral.